Molecule: long non-coding RNA, 280 nt
Organism: Hyla sarda
Lineage: Eukaryota; Metazoa; Chordata; Amphibia; Anura; Hylidae
Exons: 3
Source: RefSeq, a predicted model, not a curated record
CAUCACACAUGUGACAUCAUCAAGUGUUUGGAGCUAUCUCUACCAGCCACUAGUACAGCUCAGGCCUUAGCUAUCAGAGGGAGUGCACACAAAGAGCAGGAGAUGAGGAAGAGGACAAGAGGACACAGGAGAGGUGAUUGAUGCCCCGUGAGAAGGUGAACGUGACAUAAACCCUCGUCAGCUGCAAAAAAGGAACCGCGAGACAGGUGACUGAUGCCCCGUGAGAAGGUGAACGUGACGUAUACACUCGUUAGCUGCAAAAAGGAACAGCGAGACAGGU